Molecule: ribosomal RNA, 253 nt
Filed under: uncultured bacterium
Lineage: Bacteria
Description: partial 16S ribosomal RNA
Rfam family: Bacterial small subunit ribosomal RNA
Source: RNAcentral
GACGAACCGUGCGAACGUUGUUCGGAAUCACUGGGCUUAAAGGGCGCGUAGGCGGCUGACCAAGUCUGGGGUGAAAUCCUGCAGCUUAACUGUAGAAGUGCCUGGGAUACUGGUCGGCUCGAGGGAGGUAGGGGUCUGUGGAACUGCUGGUGGAGCGGUGAAAUGCGUUGAUAUCAGCAGGAACGCCGGUGGCGAAAGCGACGGACUGGAUCUCUUCUGACGCUGAGGCGCGAAAGCGAGGGGAGCGAACGGG